GACGAACGCUGGCGGCGUGCUUAACACAUGCAAGUCGAACGAUGAAGCCGGAGCUUGCUCUGGUGAAUUAGUGGCGAACGGGUGAGUAACACGUGAGUAACCUGCCCUUGACUCUGGGAUAACUGCUAGAAAUGGUAGCUAAUACCGGAUACGACCCUCGGAGGCAUCUCCAGGGGGUGGAAAGAAUUUCGGUCAAGGAUGGACUCGCGGCCUAUCAGCUAGUUGGGGAGGUAACGGCUCACCAAGGCGACGACGGGUAGCCGGCCUGAGAGGGUGACCGGCCACACGGGGACUGAGACACGGCCCAGACUCCUACGGGAGGCAGCAGUGGGGAAUAUUGCACAAUGGGCGCAAGCCUGAUGCAGCAACGCCGCGUGAGGGAUGACGGCCUUCGGGUUGUAAACCUCUUUUAGUAGGGAAGAAGCGAAAGUGACGGUACCUGCAGAAAAAGCACCGGCUAACUACGUGCCAGCAGCCGCAGUAA
RNAcentral lists this ribosomal RNA (484 nucleotides) under uncultured bacterium. Its description in RNAcentral is "partial 16S ribosomal RNA". It matches the Rfam family "Bacterial small subunit ribosomal RNA", at positions 28 to 523 of the family's 1533-position model. The record is from RNAcentral.